UUUUUUUUACAAUUUGAUUAGAUUAAUUAGGACAAUAUUAGUUUAAUUAGAUUGAUAAUUGACAAUUAGGAUCUAAAUCUUGUUUUUUAGCAUAUUAGGAUCUUCAUUAGGAUUUUAGGAUUUUAAUUAGGUUUUUUGAGAUUUAAUUAGAAUUUUAAUUAGGAUUUUUGAUUAGAUUCUAAUUAGAAAUAAUUAGCCUUUGAUUGAAUUUAGAACAACACCAUUUUUCAAUAUUAGGUUAAGAUCUUU
This 249-nucleotide long non-coding RNA is filed under the name Lathyrus oleraceus (garden pea). RNAcentral describes it as "Pisum sativum (pea) long non-coding RNA (PSAT_LNC037310)". Lineage: Eukaryota; Viridiplantae; Streptophyta; Magnoliopsida; Fabales; Fabaceae. The record is from RNAcentral.